GUAGUUUUCUUCCUCUCCUCAGAUUGAAGACACAUACAAAAAGGCUCAUUCUUCCAUCCGGGAGAACCCAGUCCACGAAAAGAAGCCCAAGAGAGAAGUCAAAAAGAAGAGGUGGAAUCGUGCCAAACUGUCUCUGGCACAGAGGAAAGACCGCAUUGCUCAGAAAAAAGCAAGCUUUCUCAGAGCUCAGCAGAAGAUUGCCGACAGCUAAACUGGGCUUCCUGCAAUUUUCUACAAGAGUCUCAUAAAAUAAAUCUAUUGAUGCUAAA
Molecule: long non-coding RNA, 269 nt
Organism: Nanorana parkeri
Lineage: Eukaryota; Metazoa; Chordata; Amphibia; Anura; Dicroglossidae
Exons: 2
Source: RefSeq, a predicted model, not a curated record